UUAAUUCAAUCGUAUAGAGUUGAAACGUUUGCCUACGUUUGCCGCUAGGGGCGCUGUUCCAACUGCAUACAAAAUUGAAUUA
RNAcentral lists this microRNA precursor (82 nucleotides) under Bombyx mori (domestic silkworm). RNAcentral's name for it is "mir-2807 microRNA precursor family". It matches the Rfam family "mir-2807 microRNA precursor family". Lineage: Eukaryota; Metazoa; Arthropoda; Insecta; Lepidoptera; Bombycidae. The record is from Rfam by way of RNAcentral.